UCCCACCCGGUAAGGUUGACCACCGCCGGAAGCGAGCCCUGCGUAGUCGUCCGUGAGGGCGGCACGAGGCAUGGGCAGUGAGUGUGAACGCCGUGUGAUUGAGCCACGAAAUAGUAUUGGUUGGUUUGGACUCUGUGGUCAUACUAGCAGGGUCAACAGUCAGGCGCUGUAAUGGUCUGGCGUCUGGACGGCCCGGGGUCUGAGAGC
Molecule: non-coding RNA, 207 nt
Filed under: marine eukaryotic metagenome
Source: RNAcentral